GCGCGAAUGGUCUAGUGGUUAUGAUUUCAGUUUCCCAUGUCGCGACUCGAUAAGUCACGUGACUUAGUCAACUGGAGAGUCGGGUUCGAUUCCCGGUUCGCGCA
Non-coding RNA from Arachnomyces sp. PD_36, 104 nucleotides. The record is from the annotation of a GenBank genome assembly. NCBI's taxonomy places the organism in Eukaryota, Fungi, Ascomycota, Eurotiomycetes, Onygenales, Arachnomycetaceae.